CCUACGGGGGGCAGCAGUGGGGAAUAUUGCACAAUGGGGGAAACCCUGAUGCAGCGACGCCGCGUGAGUGAAGCAGUAUUUCGGUAUGUAAAGCUCUAUCAGCAGGGAAGAAAAUGACGGUACCUGAUUAAGAAGCCCCGGCUAACUACGUGCCAGCAGCCGCGGUAAUACGUAGGGGGCAAGCGUUAUCCGGAUUUACUGGGUGGAAAGGGAGCGUAGACGGCAACACAAGGCUGGAGGGAAAUGCCGGGGCUUAACCCCGGAACUGCUUGGGAAACUGUGCAGCUAGAGUGCAGGAGAGGUAAGCGGAAUUCCUAGUGUAGCGGUGAAAUGCGUAGAUAUUAGGAGGAACACCAGUGGCGAAGGCGGCUUACUGGACUGUAACUGACGUUGAGGCUCGAAAGCGUGGGGAGCAAACAGGAUUAGAUACCCGUGUAGUC
Molecule: ribosomal RNA, 440 nt
Filed under: uncultured bacterium
Lineage: Bacteria
Description: partial 16S ribosomal RNA
Rfam family: Bacterial small subunit ribosomal RNA
Source: RNAcentral